RNAcentral lists this long non-coding RNA (375 nucleotides) under Hordeum vulgare. Its description in RNAcentral is "long non-coding RNA (HVUL_LNC002093)". Lineage: Eukaryota; Viridiplantae; Streptophyta; Magnoliopsida; Poales; Poaceae. The record is from RNAcentral.
AAGUUGACUGCCGGCGACGAAGUAGACGGCUGCUCCGGCGAAUUAGGAGUGGUGGACGGUGGAGAGGAGGUCUCUUUGAAGACUAUGGAGUAGGAUAUAUAUGGAGACGAACUCGUUCUGCACGUGCACCACGGGCUUGCUGGAAUCCUACCGGCGCGGCGGUGGAACUUGAUCUCGUCGGGCAAGUGCUCCCGCUGUGAAAUUGAGAGGUUUGAAGGGUCAGAGAGGUGAACAUGUGACAUAGAAUAAUAAUUUUGCAGGAAUUAGGGCAUGAGUCCCACGUACGGCGAUGCUACCUUCGUCAAUUCAUGGCUACAUUGAGGAACUCAGCGAGAGAUUCCUCUGUGUACAACGGAAUAGGGAGAGGGGUUUUAU